Molecule: ribosomal RNA, 462 nt
Filed under: uncultured Glomus
Lineage: Eukaryota; Fungi; Glomeromycota; Glomeromycetes; Glomerales; Glomeraceae
Description: SSU rRNA
Rfam family: Eukaryotic small subunit ribosomal RNA
Source: RNAcentral
AGCAGCCGCGGUAAUUCCAGCUCCAAUAGCGUAUAUUAAAGUUGUUGCAGUUAAAAAGCUCGUAGUUGAAUUUCGGGGUUAGUAGGUUGGUCAUGCCUCUGGUAUGUACUGGUCUCACUGAUUCCUCCUUCCUGAUGAACCUUAAUGCCAUUUAUUUGGUGUUUUGGGGAAUUUGGACUGUUACUUUGAAAAAUUGAGUGUUUAAAGCAAGCUAACGCUUGAAUACAUUAGCAUGGAAUAAUGAAAUAGGACGUUCGAUCCUAUUUUGUUGGUUUCUAGGAUUGACGUAAUGAUUAAUAGGGAUAGUUGGGGGCAUUAGUAUUCAAUUGUCAGAGGUGAAAUUCUUGGAUUUAUUGAAGACUAACUACUGCGAAAGCAUUUUGCCAAGGAUGUUUUCAUUAAUCAAGAACGAAAGUUAGGGGAUCGAAGACGAUCAGAUACCGUCGUAGUCUUAACCAUAAA